CUUCUUCUUCUUUCUUCUUCUCUGUUCUUCCUCUCCGUUUCUCUGUCGAUCUCAUUUCCAAUGGAUUGAGCUGGACUAUUUUGAUAAUAAUUCAUGUGAAUCUUUUUCUUGUUGAAUAUAAGAAGUAGGUGUUGAUGUCACGGUUUUUUGAUCACGGGAAGAAGAGGUUUGAGUUGCUGCUGUAAAUCGAGAAUUAUAUUUUGUUUUGGAGAUAAGGAAAUCAAGAGAAGAUGAUGAUUCAGUUGAGAACCUUGGGAUGGUGGUGGUUUCGAUUUAAAUGGUUGAUUAAGAUUCAACAUGAAAAGGUACUUCAGAUUUAAUUAAUUAGGGUUCUUUUGAAAUGAAGAUCAAAUUGUACGAAUUUGAGUAUUUAAUGGAGUAACUAGUGAUGGGUUUUAAUCAGGUAUGAAGUAGAAAUGUUUGUGUGGAUUUAAUUUUGAUUUCAAAGGAAAUUAGGGUUUCUCAUGUUCUUCCCCAAUUUAAGAGUUCGGGUUUCAAGUUGAGUUACAAAGAAUGAAGUUGAAAUUGAUAUUCUAUAAGGAUGAUUAGAAGCGGGUUUGAUGUGAAUUAUUGAUUGAGACCGAGUUGUGUUAAUAAUGAAGAUUGAUUUUAUAGUUAGGGUAUUGAAGUUACUAAUUAUGAAGUUUCAUCCGAGGUGAUGAGUCGAAUAUAGGGAAAAGGUAUGAGUAAUAUUGACUUGAUGGUAAGAUGGUAUUGCAGGAGAGUGUUACAGUAUGCAUUUGAUUUGUAAUUAGUGGUGUUGAACUAAACUGAGUUAGAGUUUUGCAGUUGGAAAUGAUGUUUCUGUGGAUUGAAAUUGAAAUGGAUUGGUGGAGAAGAUGAAUUAGUUUUUAAAAGGUUGGACAAGUACCUGAGUUGGUUAAGAUGGAUGUAGUGAUUGUUUGAAUGUGCAGAAGUGGUAAUGUUGUUAGUGUUUAUAUUGUUGAGGUUGCAGGGGAUGUAAGUAUGAACUGAGUUUGUGUUGAGCAGAGUUGGUGUUGUGGAUUGGUGGUAGUGGUUUGGUGUUGGGUAUGUAUUUGAGAUAAGAGAAUGGAUUGCACAUGAUGGUAUUGUUGAACUGUUGGAGGUACUGAAUUGCAACUGGUGAUGGUGUUGUUGUGUUUUGAAUGACAGCAUUGAAGUUAUUGGAGUUUGUAUCUUAAAUGAUGAUGAGGUGUGUUGGUUGGUUUUAGAGAUGAACUGUUGGUGACUGGUGCUGAUAGUAUCAAGCUAAGGAUGAAAUGGAUGUUGGUAUGAGCAGUGUAGGAUUAUAGUUGUUAGUUCAGUAAAAGCUAAAAGCUGCAAUUGCAGUUAGUCUAUUGACAAUGAUCGAUUCAAAGGAUGAACCGGUGGAUCGUGGAUCUCGAGCUAGUCUUGGCUUGUCAUCAAAAGAGUUUCAGAGACAAAUCAGAGUUGCGCAGCGAAAGCUUCGAGGCGUUGAUUUCGUUUGUUAGAUUACUUCUGCUAUGAUUAUUAUGUGGUAUAUUUUAUUUGCAAUCCAAAUGACUAUUAUAUAUGUAUCAAUUGAGAGGAGAUCUUGUAUAUAUAUUUCUGAGCGGGGUUAAUUUUGGGUUAAGUUUUGUAGAAGAUU
This is a long non-coding RNA of Papaver somniferum (opium poppy), 1591 nucleotides long. RefSeq lists it as uncharacterized. Lineage: Eukaryota; Viridiplantae; Streptophyta; Magnoliopsida; Ranunculales; Papaveraceae. The transcript has 3 exons. The record is from RefSeq and is a predicted model, not a curated record.